UACGUAGGGGGCAAGCGUUGUCCGGAAUCAUUGGGCGUAAAGCGCGCGUAGGCGGCCAGACAAGUCCGGUGUGAAAGUCACAGGCUCAACCUGUGAAUGCCGCUGGAAACUGUCUGGCUAGAGUCCGGAAGGGGCGAGUGGAAUUCCUGGUGUAGCGGUGAAAUGCGCAGAUAUCAGGAAGAACACCUAUGGCGAAGGCAGCUCUCUGGGACGGUACUGACGCUGAGACGCGAAAGCGUGGGGAGCGAACAGG
RNAcentral lists this ribosomal RNA (253 nucleotides) under uncultured bacterium. Its description in RNAcentral is "partial 16S ribosomal RNA". It matches the Rfam family "Bacterial small subunit ribosomal RNA", at positions 524 to 776 of the family's 1533-position model. The record is from RNAcentral.